Molecule: ribosomal RNA, 247 nt
Filed under: Ehrlichia muris
Lineage: Bacteria; Pseudomonadati; Pseudomonadota; Alphaproteobacteria; Rickettsiales; Anaplasmataceae
Description: partial 16S ribosomal RNA
Rfam family: Bacterial small subunit ribosomal RNA
Source: RNAcentral
UACGGAGGGGGCAAGCGUUGUUCGGAAUUAUUGGGCGUAAAGGGCACGUAGGUGGACUAGUAAGUUAAAAGUGAAAUACCAAAGCUUAACUUUGGAGCGGCUUUUAAUACUGCUAGACUAGAGGUCGAAAGAGGAUAGCGGAAUUCCUAGUGUAGAGGUGAAAUUCGUAGAUAUUAGGAGGAACACCAGUGGCGAAAGCGGCUGUCUGGUUCGAUACUGACACUGAGGUGCGAAAGCGUGGGGAGCA